RNAcentral lists this long non-coding RNA (1898 nucleotides) under Pomacea canaliculata. Its description in RNAcentral is "uncharacterized LOC112572927". The record is from RNAcentral. Lineage: Eukaryota; Metazoa; Mollusca; Gastropoda; Architaenioglossa; Ampullariidae.
AGCUGUGGCAGCCAUGUCAUAAAAACAAUUGAAUGUACAAACUUAAGCUAUUUGUCUAAGUUGUUUUGUUUUCCUGUAGUAAAAUUUCUGUGGCUGUGUAUAAUCCAUAGUAAUGUUAAACAUUAUCAGCACAUUGAAUUUUGGAGCAAGCAUUCAUAAUUUUAUAAACAAAGCGUCCUCUAUCUUCGUACGCCAUUUUCCUGAAGACAUUCAGAAACGAACUAAGAAAAAAAGGGGAGCAAGUUUAUCAGAAGAUCGGCAAACACUUGGAAGGUAUGGAAGACCUAAUUGCAGGCUUUAAUAUGGGAAUACUAUAACUGAAAAUUCCAACAAGCUACUGCAUUUUGAGACCUCGAUUUUGCAUUCAAUUUUGUUUGAAUUUUUAAAAAUAGCCAAAUACUGAUAAAUGUAAAUUUUAUGUGCUGCUUAUGAAGACUUUUUUGGAAUGUGUUACUCAUAAUUUUAGGUUUCAAUCAUGUUUGUUUGAUAGAAAACACACAUCCAAAGUCUUUCAAACAGCCUUGCACUUAUUGGUGAAUAUUCUUUGCAUUUUUAGUCUUAUGUGCUAUAUUUUUGUUGUGCAGUAAUAAGGAUUUUGUGGACCAAUGUUUGUUACUUACAAAAACUUGUGUGUUUAUUCGUCUAGCAUAUGACUGCUAAAGAAAAGGAGCCUUUCAGAAAACAAGCCCAAAUAGAUAGCAACCGUUACAAGUUAGAGAUGCGACGGGGGAAUGAAAAUUUUCCCAAAAGACCUAUGACGGCAUUCUUCUUCUGUUGUGCAGAGGAAAGACCCAAGCUACAGACAUCUAAUCCUGGCAUGACAUUCGGAUGGCAGACACUGGCAGAAACUUCAAGACCGUUCCAUAUUUGAGGAGAUAGCUACUGAAGAUAACUUGAGAUUCUGGAAUGUUGGUUUCACAGAUUGCUAAUUGAAUUCUAAGAGAUUACACAAACUCAGAUGGACCACGAAGACCACCUGUGGACACGUGUUUGGAGUGAGCUGACGGUCCAGUCGGCAGAGGUGUGGGAUGACAAGACAAACUGCGGGCAAUGAGAUCGACACCCGUUCAAAGAACCCAUUGAAACGUGAACUGCUUCAGAAUGUGCCUCACCUGGAAAUGACGGACUAGACCUGUAGAGACCUUUCAUUGCCAUGCUGUGCAUUAACUGCAGGUCGUCUGCUCCCAGGUAUCGCAUGUACAGCACGUGCACACCUUGUCAUUUCUGCGCUAAUACCCUCUCCUCCCUCCCCGCAGGCUGUUGUACAGCAACCGUUACACCCCACAACCUCUUUACCUGACAUCAGCCACCUCACCCGCUCCAACAUAGCUCCACCUCACCUCAGUCCUCUAGCUUUGCCCUUUUUCCUUCCACCCUUCCUCUUGCCUCCAUUCAGCUCCACCCCUCUCCAGCCCAGCGUGUCCGGACAUCAGUCCUAUAGACGAGACGCGAGGAUGUUCUCCGCCUGGUGGAGUUUCCUGAACACACAACUCACAGACAUACAGAUCUGUCUCGCGGCUUAUCUUUCUACUGUUGUUAGAUGUACCACGGGCGAGCGCCUUUGACUUGUUACAAACCUGUCCGUGGGCCCAGAUGCACAGACCGGCACUAGGCGCUAGCUGUAUGGCUCAGGCGUAGGAAUACCCUGCAAGGCUAACAUUACGGUUUAGCUAACUACCACGACUUAGCUACGCACCUGGCAUCCCCAAUGCGCAGUCUCUCCCUCACCAUCUUCAUCUUUUAGUCUCCCACCAUCGUGUUGUUUGUUUGCAUGUUUUUACCAAAGAAUAGACUCGAAAUGUUUCUCCGAAGGCUCGAUUUCACCAUAUUUUGUUGUAGUUCACGAUAACGAUUAACAAGUUUAAGAUCCAUUUUGAAAAAGAAUAUAACUUUCAUAU